Bubalus bubalis (water buffalo) is the source of this 904-nucleotide long non-coding RNA. RefSeq lists it as uncharacterized. The record is from RefSeq and is a predicted model, not a curated record. The transcript is spliced from 2 exons. Lineage: Eukaryota; Metazoa; Chordata; Mammalia; Artiodactyla; Bovidae.
GUAAUGAGUGGUAGGUGUUCUAAUUAUAAAUGAAUUCAUUAAUUCUAACAGUGUUGAGUUAAAUUUUGGUGGGAGACAGUGAUACACAAUCAUUAACUGCCUUGUUGGUGUAACAGGAGUCAUUCCAGCCACAGAUACUGCAUAACUUAGGCUGAAAUGUGUUAUAAAAACUAGUCCUUCAUUCUUUUUUUUCCCUUCAUUCUUGAAGAGGCUUCCAGGAAUUGAAAUGUGCAGCUGUUUACAUGCUCAUUAUCUGCCUUUGUUUGUGGGCUCAGAUUGGAUUUCUUACUGAGAGUCUGAGUUUCUACAGCUGUGCAGAUGAAUAAACCUUGAGUCUGGACCUGCUCAUCUGAUAGGGGUUUUAUCCACAACCAUUGGUAAAGCAAACUGAAUACCACCUUGCACUCUGUGCGUUUGAUAUUCCCAUCCUGCUAUGACAAGAGGCUGAUCUCCAUCACACACCUGUCUUCAUUACCCACAGAUGGAGCUGGCUUAGACAGUUGAGGAAAGAAAGAUCAGCUGUGUGUGGCCUGGAGACAGCUCCUCCCCCAGGGACAAAUCAGCCAAGAUACUUUAAUUGCAUUGGCAAAGCAAUAAGAAGCAGAAGAAAUUUCUUCUCACACAGAGAAGUUUCAUUCAACAGAUAUGCAACAUGUGUUUAUUAAGAGCCUUCUAUAGGCUUAGGUGAAGUCUUCCUCUGAGACUUCACCUUCAUCUGAGGGUGAAGUCAGUCUUUUUGGAGGCUCUUUUAGUGCAGGCAGGCAUGAAGACUGAGACAUCAGAUGAAAGGAAGAAGUAACCUACUUAAUCAUGGAGAAGGGAAUGACAACCAACCCCAGUAUUCUUCCCUGGAAAAUCCCAUGGUCAGAGGAGGCUGGCAGGCUACAGUCCAUAGGGUCACAGA